Molecule: long non-coding RNA, 2369 nt
Organism: Acanthochromis polyacanthus (spiny chromis)
Lineage: Eukaryota; Metazoa; Chordata; Actinopteri; Pomacentridae
Exons: 2
Source: RefSeq, a predicted model, not a curated record
CCUGCUUGUUCCCGUGGUGGCGUGGCAUUGUCCGUGAGUGCAGUCGUUUCUCUGGUGUGACAGCCCAGCGGUGGUAAUCGCUGUCAAGGUGCGCUGUCUGCAAUACGUGCUGUGGCUGACUGCGGCAGUUAAUCCCUGGUGGUGGUGCAUUCUUCAUGGUACCCCUUUUCCUUUGGUUUUGUGUGUACGAGUAUUUAUUUGCAGUGGCAUGGGUAAUUAAUUUGAGGACCCCUCUUCUCUUUUUGGUUAUCCUGCUUCAUGGUAAGCCCCAGCCCUGCUUUUAUUCCCUCCUGCCCAUUCUUUCCUUGAUUCAGUAUGUUUAACUGGUGUGGGACAUUAUUUUCUUUUUUUUUUUGUAACAUAAAUUUGUUAAGAAAAUUUGUUUAACCAAAAUAUGGUUUGUUUAACCACCCCUGUCGCAUGAAAUCUGUGCAGCCUUGAUGGUAAAUGACAGACAGAAACCUGAGUUAGGAUUUCCUGGGUGCAACUCCCAGGUGGCAUUGUCAUGACCGUAUUUGGGUUUUGUUGGGCAUAAAAGCCUCAAUCUCGCCACAUAAACAAGUCUCAAGUCCACAGGAAAUGUUACUUCUGGAGUGUCAAAAACGCCUCAUUUGAAUUUCAGACUUUUCGUCAUCACCAUGAAACACAUUUACAUAACACCUAAUUAUCAGGUAGCUUGGCCCUUAAACAAAAGAAUAAGCUGAAUGGCUUAGUUCAGCCUAAAAGACUGAAACAACAAGUCUGUCCAAAGAUACCAAAAUCCACCUACAAAGUUCCGCUAAAGCUCACUGGGUAACAUAUUACAUUUCAUUUGUCUAAUUCACACAGAAACUCAAGUGUUGUCCUCUUUACAACAAAGCAAGUAUUUCAUUAAAGGGUUCAUAUUCUGCUUUUUUGUGCAUGUACAUAUAGAGGAUGGGGAAAAGCCUCUAUUAAAAGUAGCAUAGAAACAGGGGCAGACUGACGUUCGGGGAUACUGGGCAUAUCCCCGGGGGGCCGAUGCGGCUGUGGGCCGGUUGGACCACGAGAAAAUAAAAAGUCUAGCGCGACACCGCCAACAGCGCGAUGGUCCGCUCCACAAGGAGGCUGAGCUGACAGCUGGACAGCUCCUGAUACCAUAGGCUGGUUUACCUGUGAUUGCUACUGAUAGCCAAUCACAUUUCAUCGCUGCGGUGGUUAAGUCCCACCCACUCUCUCACUCUGCAGCUGCUGUCACCUGUCAAUCACACAUAGACGAGACAGACAUCUAAUGGCGACUUUGGAUGGAUGCGAGUCGGUGCAAAAUAUGGAAAAAAAAAUCCCAAAAACGAAAAGGUGGCGCUGAGAAGCUGAGAAACAAAAAGAGAAAAUCCCUUCAAGACCAUGCAACAACGAGCAUGAAAAUAACUGAUUAAAUUGGCAGUCACUCGGGAGAAGUUUCUGGAAAGAGUCCAGAACUUUUCAUCCCAGGCACAAGCACAAGCACAGCAUUAGUGGGACGAGUGACGUGCAAGUAAGUUAUGUUUGGUACUUGUUUGGUACUUGUUGAUGCUUUGGUGAAAAUGUCAAUUUGGUUAAAGUGAGUAAAUUCAGCACAGUGUUAGCUAGCCUGUUAGCAGAGUGCUAGCUAGCCUUUGGAGUCCAAAAUAGCCACUAUUUACUUACCAGACAUUUCCUGUAGAUGUGAACCUGUCUGUACUGUUGCUAAUUAUGAUGGGAUGGGGUCUGUCACCUUUGUAGCCAUGUUGUCAUCUGGUUGAAAUUAACCUGUUAUUAUCAAUGAAUUGACUCUUAUUUAAUGACUAUAAAUUAAUGAAUUGUUUACUUGUCUGUACAAGUUCGCUAUCAGAAUAAUUCAGUAAUACCAUCCCAGAAUUUAUUUAAUUUUUUCUUUUUUAUGUAAAUGUAACCAGGUUGAAAUAAUAACAGUAUUUUCAUAUAUGAAAUUCCACCAACUUCCAGGGAUUCAUGUAAAUAAUUAUUUCAUGUUUUGUAUUGUUUAAAAUGUGUUUCAUUUUUUAUUAUUAUUAUUGUUGGAGUUAUUACCAUCUUUUUUAAGAGGUCGCAGUUUGAUGAGGUCACUAAUAUGCGCCGGAAGAAAACACAGGACGUCGGAGUAACGGAGCUGGAUGAAAAUGAACUUGCUGCUGGAACCGACACGAGAGGAAUGAAUUUUAUCUUCACGUGAGGGAAACCAGAACAGCGGUAUGGAUGCUUAAUUGAUGAACUAUUCCUGCACAUCGGAGAGACAGAACAUUGGAGAGACGUAGCGACGGUAUGGACAAUUAAUAAAGGACAUUUUUGUGUUGGAGAGACUGAGCGGCGUAUGGCACGUGAUUAGCCACCAUUAACUGCAUGUUGAAGAGAAGGUAAUAAACGUAUGUUAGCGA